Molecule: non-coding RNA, 3426 nt
Organism: Monodelphis domestica (gray short-tailed opossum)
Lineage: Eukaryota; Metazoa; Chordata; Mammalia; Didelphimorphia; Didelphidae
Source: RefSeq, a predicted model, not a curated record
UGCUCGGCGCUCGGUUCUACAUAUCUGCGCCCGCCAACGCUGCUGCGUUACUAUGGGGAUGGAGCUGUGAGUGACUGCUACCAGAUCCUGGCCCCGGCCUGGCCCUCAUAGGGCCCCGCGGGGGCGCAGCCCCUAGUCGACAGGGUGACGGAUCAUUUUGAAAAAAAGCCAUUAGCUUCUGAAGAUAUUUUUACCGUAAAGGAAAAGCCAGUUCCAAAUCUACGCUGUGUAAUGAAACAUUGAUGUGUGAUGGAAGGAGUUGGAGAAAAAUGAAAACAUUGGCAUGAAGUGAUACAGAGGGGAAGACAGCUGAGCCAAAAAAAAAAUUACACAAAACUACAAUAAAGUCAAUGUUCAGACACCUAGGAAGACAUGAACUGAUAGUGAAAUGAGCAGAAACAAGAAGCAUGCCACCCUACCUCCUGACAGAUUCAGGAUGCAGAGAUGUACAAUUUUGGACAAGGGCAAUGUGGGAAUUUGUUUUGCUUCACUAUGCGUAGAUUCAAGCAAAUUUUUUUUCCCAGUGAAAGGAGAAAAAAGUGUUUUUUCAAAUAAAAUUGUUUGAAAAGUCAACACUGAGGAGCAACAAAACUUUUGUAAAAUGUACUACUAUUGCAUACCAUGAAACAAGACAUUUCUCUCCUUUUCUGUUAAAAACUCCAUUCUGAGGGGAUGCACUUUGUAAAGUUUAGGUUUUUGUGUCUCAUGCCAAAAUAAAACAUAUACUUAUUUUAGAAUGGGAGGAGAUCCUUCCAUUAAUUACCCACUGUAUACAGUCAUACAAUUGCCUUGACUAUGUUUUUGCAUUGAGUGAAAUGGGUAAAAUGUGUUUUAAAUAUUUUUUUCUUCUGGUGUUUCAUUAUAGUAGGGAAGUAAUGCUGGGUGCUUAGCAUUUAUGCCUUUCAGAGUCUAAACUUUGACAGGGACAGAUCCAAGUGGAAAACACUUUAGGGACAUGGCAAACAGACUUUCUGCCUGUUGUCCAAGGCCCUUCUUGGUGAAAUUCAGAGCAGCUUAAGUUCACCAGGUUGUCAAUAUUUCAAACACAGCAAUUCACAAAACUAUCUGAGAAGGCCCAGAGAAGUGGAGAGCUGCAUUAGUGAAUAGAGUAGCCCACACUAACAAGGUUUCAGACCCUUGAAAUACUGAGGAGCAUGUGAAACAGAAGAAGCUAGAAUAAAGGAAGAAACACAAGAAUUUUUUUUUGUUGCUGUUUAUUAUGAAAACAAAACAAAUGCCCCAAGGAGAAGGGUCCAUGAUUACCAGGAACAUCAAAGAGUACUUGCUACCUUUUUUUAAAUUUUAUUCAGUUGUGUUGAGGCCAGCAUUGCAAUAAACAAGCUAAAACUACUUUACAUUGACUCAUUUUCAGUAACUGACAUUUACAGGAAUAUACUAGAAACGGCACUAAAAAGUUUAAGAAAAGAGUUACGGUAAACUUGCAUGCACAUCAUACAGAAAAGUAACAUUUUAAAUAUAAAAAAGAAAGACUUUCUGGAAGUGUUAUGCCAGUAUCACGGAAUAGCGCUAAAACAGUACGUGUCAAAUCCCACAUUGUUGAUUUUGUAUUUUUUUUCUCCAAACAAUUGUAAAAGAUGUAAAUGCUGUAAAAAUGUAUCUUUACAGUUUAAAAUUAAGAUAAUGCUGCCCAAUGUGAGGAAUUUUCUCUAAGUAAAUUAUGAAUUCUAUAUAAGGUCUGCCCCACAGCCUCUAUGGUUUUAUUUAUAUUUUAGAAUUAGUUUUUAUGUCCUUUUUUGACCCCUUAUUAAAAAGAUUUUUCUAGUGCCUCCCUGACCCCCAUCCUGCUUUUAAAAAUAUUUUCUUUCCCCAAAAGUGAACAUUUUAAACUGGUCUACAGUUUUCAGUACUAGACUGAUUCUAAUUAGAUAACUGCAGUCUUCCUUACCACAGAGGAAAUGGUAAAUAACCCACAACCUGAUACUGGGUAUCUCUCCUCUUCCCCUCUCUCCCUCCCUCACAAAAAAAAAAGUGAAUGGAAAUCAGUUUUUCAGUUUGAAACAGUGUAGACAGAAAGUUUUAAAACCAUAGCACCAUGAAAUUCAAAUUGUUUGUAUAGACUAUGCCAUGAGUCAAAGACAAAGUCAACAGAUUCUUUCUGGAUAAAGGAAUAAAUGUCAUUAGCUUAGAAGAGAUCCCUGUCCUCUCAAAACACAUUGAUAAUGAAAUGUUUUAAAAUGAUUCACCUCAUUUUUUCACACAAGUGAAACUUUUUCCAUUCCUUAUUAGUGACUGAAGCCACAAAAGGAAGACUCAUAAGAAGUCAUUAUUCUUAUCUCUUGGCAUUAAUUUUGCAAUAUAUAUUCCACUUUAGAAUGUUUGAUUUGUUCUAUAAUAGAUGUUACAAAUAAUACCAUAAUUAAGACUUAUUUGUCCAUUCAUUCUCUCGAAGUAAUAGUUUAAAUACAGCCUUUAAAUCUUUUUAUAAAAUAUCUUUUAAAAUCAGGGUAAAAUUGUAAAAUGGUAAACUAAAAACUAUUUCUAGAACAACAAAGAUGAGUAAAAGUUUUAGUAAACUGGCUCAGUACUCCCUUUUGCAUGUUAAGUUUUUCUAAAAGCAAAAAACAAAACAAAAACCCAGUAAUUAAACAACUGAUAUUCCUUCAUCCAUUUCCUCAUCACAAUAUGACAGAACUUAAGAGUAGGUGGUAGAGUCAGAGGAGAUUUAAAAAAACAAAGUUUUCCCUACUAAAUUAAUAUAUCAUUCACAAAGAUUCUAUUGAAAUGCUGGUGGGUAGUAUCAUCUAGAGAUUCAUGAAAAGAUAGUCCAAACAUUGAAUGUCACUAUGUCAAUUCCCAUCCAAUACUCAAUUCAUUGAUUUUAUUACAUGAAGUUAAGUGAAAAUUAGGCUUUGAUACAGUAACUUUUGCGCUAAAGUGUAAAACAAUGGAGCAGGGAGCCUAAAGAGGCAUAUGAAGGAGCCCAGAGACAACGACCUCCAAACAGAGAGGAAGCACUUGUGGAGAGCCUAGGUCUCCAAGGGGCAGGACAUUCCUGCCUCUAUUGCUACAAGCCUGGGCCUUAUAGCCUCUGGGGGUCAUACCAUCAUGCCAAAGGCCAAGGACUACAAUUUUUAUACAAAGUGGGCAUGAUCAUUUCAUUCUUGGCCCUUUGCCAAUCAAUGCCUGACCCUCAUCUGGACAAAUUGGGGCAUCCCUGUGCUAAAGGCUGUGUGGCAGCCUGCUGGAAAGACAAAAACAAAACAUAACCUUCUGUUAAACUCUGUAUAUUAUUAUUAUUAUUUUUUACAAUAAAAAGUUAAAAAUCAUGACUUCGAUUUACUAUACAUUUUUUUCUCAGAUUACAAAGUUUAUAUUAUAUAACUGGGGGUUCCCUAAAUUGAUUUAUUUUAAAACUGUCCUAAAGAGACCUGUGGCAAAUACAAAAAAAAAAAGAAGAAAGAAAAA